GAUGAACGCUGGCGGCGUGCUUAACACAUGCAAGUCGAACGAGAAGUGAAGACGGAAACCUUCGGGCGGAAGGCUUUAUUUCGAGUGGCGGACGGGUGAGUAACGCGUGGGUAACCUGCCUCAUACAGGGGGAUAACAGUUGGAAACGACUGUUAAUACCGCAUAAGACCACAGCACCGCAUGGUGCGGGGGUAAAAACUCCGGUGGUAUGAGAUGGACCCGCGUUCGAUUAGCCAGUUGGCGGGGUAACGGCCCACCAAAGCGACGAUCGAUAGCCGAGAUGAGAGGCUGACCGGAGACAUCGGGGCUGAGACACGGCCCGAACUCCUACGGGAGGCAGCAGUGGGGAAUAGUGCACAAUGGGGGAAACCCUGAUGCAGCGCCGCCGCGUGAGUGAAGAAGUAUUUCGGUAUGUAAAGCGCUAUCAGCAGGGCAGAAAAUGACGGUACCUGAGUAAGAAGCCCCGGCUAACUACGUG
RNAcentral lists this ribosomal RNA (478 nucleotides) under uncultured bacterium. Its description in RNAcentral is "partial 16S ribosomal RNA". It matches the Rfam family "Bacterial small subunit ribosomal RNA", at positions 28 to 507 of the family's 1533-position model. The record is from RNAcentral.